AAGCCCUUCCAGUGCCGCAUCUGCAUGCGGAGCUUCAGCCGCAGCGACCACCUCACCACCCACAUCCGCACCCACACCGGCGAGAAGCCCUUCGCCUGCGAGUUCUGCGGCCGCAAGUUCGCCCGCUCCGACGAGCGCAAGCGGCACGCCAAGAUCCACCUCAAGCAGAAGGAGAAGAAGGCUGAAAAAGGCUCGGCCGGGCCCCCACCCGCCGCGCCCCCCGCCGCCGCCGCCGCCACCACCUCGCCCCCCGUCGCCCUCGCCCCCGCCGUCACCACGUGCGCCUGAGGCAUGGCACGGCGCGGUGACACCUUUUUGCACUGGUGCCGGAUGGAUCGGGGCUUCGCCGGCGUCCCGCUCGCCCCCCGUGGCCCCGUCCUCGCCAGCGGGAUGCUUGCCGGGACCCCCCCGUGGGCCGGAUCCGGUGGAUCCUACACCCAACCUGCCCGGGGUCCCGCUCCGGAUCCGACCCCAGCACCCGGCUCCCAGCCUCUCCGGAGCACGGUGGCCGCGCUCCCGGUGCCCGCACCCGCUCAGCCCCAAGCCCCGCGGCCAAGCUGCCCCCGGGGGUCGGCACCGCACACACGGAUCCCACCCGCUGGGAGCCAGCCCUGCGGGGUCCGGCGAGCGGCACCGGGGCACCCUUGGGUGCCCGGGCAGCCAGCCCCGGCGGGGUCGUGCCCCACGCGUGCUUUUCCCACCCGAGCCCCCCGGCUCGGCGGCGGAGUUCUGUUCGCAGGACAGCCCGGUGACAGCAGCGACAGCGCUUCGGACCCCGACGGUGACCGGCUCCGUCCCCGUGCCCCCAUCCCUGGCUUUUUGGGGACCUCCGAGCCCCCCCAGACCCACGCCACGGCCGCCUCCUCUUCCUCCUCUUCCUCCUCGCCCCAUCUCCUCCGGCUCCGUCCCCGCGUGGUUUUUCCACCCCUCGGUCCCCUCAGCGGGCUCUCGCCGUCAGCUUUGACCCCGGCACCAUUUUGCAGCCGGAUUUAGGGGAUCGCUCGCGGCCGCUGGGGAAAAGAGGAUCUAAAAAAGGGGGAUUUAGGGGGGGUUCAGCCCUUAAUGCCCCCCCUCUGCCACCGCCCCUCGCUGGUCAAAUUGCUGCAGAUACAGAGCGGAGAGGGAUUUUUCUUCGUGCUGCAAGCUGGCUGGGUCACCCCCGUUAAAAAUAACCCGAUUUGGGGUUUUUCACCCAUAGGGGCAAGAGGGAAAAGUGGGAGACGCAGCAGGACGAGGCGAGGUGCUGGUGGCCCCCCUGGGGUGCUGGUGGCACCGUGGUCAUCCUCGGCGGUCCCCAAGUGUGGUGGGACACGGGGAGAUGGAAAACAUCGCCCGAUUUCCCUUCUUUGGCCUUAAUUUGCAUCCGCAGACGGGCCCCGGAGGAGCUGCUUGCACCAGGCCGGGGCGGCUCUUCCAGUUGCUGCCGUUUGGGCUCGGAGAGCCUUUAAUUUCGGGGAGACACCCGGGGCUGGGCCUUGGGGUGGCUCCGGGUGACUCAGGGGAGGCUCGUCCCGGCCUUCCCGAUGGGGAAAGGACCUCGGGGCCAGCGGGGAACCGGCUUUGGGGCACCCCGGGUGCUUUGUAGGUCCCCAGGGAGUCCUUUCCAGCGUGGUUCCUCUUGGGGUGACCACGGAGAGGUGUCAGCACAGGGCCAAGAGCAGCCCCCAACCUUCAUGGUGUUGCUUUUGGUGCUUUUUGGGGCCAAAAAAUAUAGAUAUAUAUAAAUAAAAAGGGCCGGGCCUUCUCUUCGGGCCUACUC
This 1759-nucleotide long non-coding RNA is filed under the name Anas platyrhynchos platyrhynchos (common mallard). Its description in RNAcentral is "lncRNA (ENSAPLG00000029619.1)". The record is from RNAcentral. Lineage: Eukaryota; Metazoa; Chordata; Aves; Anseriformes; Anatidae.